RNAcentral lists this non-coding RNA (27 nucleotides) under Homo sapiens (human). The record is from RNAcentral. Lineage: Eukaryota; Metazoa; Chordata; Mammalia; Primates; Hominidae.
UGCUGAGAACAGUGGCCCCUUGCAAGC